GGACCCUUCACAGUAUCAAACAGAAGUAGAAUCAUGCUCUUCCUGCCGAACCAAACAAAUGCAUCUUUUCUGCAACCACAGCUUCCAUUGCUUCUUUUGCAGAAGCUAUAACAUGGACCAAAUCUUUCUUGGGGCUGCUCAGUGAGUCCAUGUACGCCUUGCGUACCUCAGUAUUCACAUUGAACUUCCUCACACCUCGCUCUAUACAGGCCUUUACAAGUUCCUUGGGCAAGCCAGAAGCUCCGUGAAGAACCAGAACAACUCCUUUCUUGGAACUCAAGUCAUGCAAAUCCUUAAGCAAAUCAAGCCUGAGCUUUGGGCCACUGGCAGGAUACUUGCCAUGUACAUUUCCAAUGCACUGCCAAAGCGUCUAUGCCAGUCUCAUCGAUGAAUUCUUCAGCCUGAUUAACAUCAGUAAGCCUUGCUUCAUAAUCUUCAACAGUCAAGUCAUCCUCUGUUCCUGACAAUCUCCCUAGUUCAGCCUCCACCAUUAUAUUUUUUGGAUGGGCCAAGUCAGAUAUGCACUUUGUGUAUGAUAUGUUAUCCUUGAAAGGAAGAUGUGAACCAUCUACCAUCACUGAAUCAAAUCCCAAGUCAAGAGCUUCCACCAGUUCUUGCUUCAAAGCUCCAUGAUCAAAGUGAACAGUAACAGGAACAUUGGCCUGUUCAGCAGCAGAGACACAAGCAGCAACCAAGGGAAUUCCUCCUUGCUUCAAGGCACUAGGAUGAAUCUGUAGAAUGGCAGGACUAUUUUCUUCCUCUGCUGCAGCAACAACAGCCUCAGCUCCUUCCAUAUUAUAAACAUUGAAUGCACCAAUGGCAUAUCCACCCUUUUCUGCAUUAAGAAGAAGCUCUUUUGUUGACGAAAGCCUAGAAGGACAAGCCCAAGAUUUCACUACUUCCGCCAAUGCUUUACUGUCACCAACAUUACCUGGGAAAACAAUGUAAGGAACUUCUGGAUGUCUACUUUCAGGACCUACCAGCCACAAGGGAACACCAGCCAGAGCUUGUCCAACUAUUUNNNNNNUUGCUUCUAGAGCUUUUGUAGCAAGGUCUGAUGAGGUAAUUCCACCCUUUGCUAUAAUGUAUCGAGGUCUUAUUGAUAUCCGCCGCACAAUUUCCACCAGUGCAGAACUCACUUUAAAAUUGAUCUCCAAACUCUCAGAAGGAGAUUUUCCAGUGAUCAGUUCACGACUGGUCAUUAUUAAUGUGUCCUUGCAGGUCCCAAGGAAAAAAUCUGCCAUCUCAGCGGCUCUACUAAUUUCCUCCUCCCUCUGUUCUAAAGACUUCAUGGCAAGUUUAUCAACAGAAACCUCAAUGGUUCUUAAGAUAUCACCACAUUGUAUUUUUAAUUCUUCAACCUGUUUUGUUGUUUUUGGAACAUAUGAUCCCACAACAAUGAGUCCACCUUUCUUGUAUUUGUUUAUUCCCAGAUCCUUGGGAAGUAUUGGAGCUUUUGGAAUAAUUCCAAUUCGGGCAGAAACAAAACUAGCAGCAGUGCGGCAUAAGAAAGACUUGCCCUUCAAUUCUGCCUGGAUCAUUCCAGCUGCAAAUACAGCCAUGUCUCUUUCACUUGCUGCAUUGACUAUACAAGUUGAACCCUUCUGCAAGCCGCAGAGAAGCUCACAAACAGCAUUUGGUCCGCCUUUCCUUAGAAGUUGGAUAGAUACAGAU
This 1674-nucleotide unclassified non-coding RNA is filed under the name Hevea brasiliensis (rubber tree). The record is from RNAcentral. Lineage: Eukaryota; Viridiplantae; Streptophyta; Magnoliopsida; Malpighiales; Euphorbiaceae.